This 255-nucleotide ribosomal RNA is filed under the name uncultured bacterium. Its description in RNAcentral is "partial 16S ribosomal RNA". It matches the Rfam family "Bacterial small subunit ribosomal RNA", at positions 524 to 776 of the family's 1533-position model. The record is from RNAcentral.
UACGAAGGGGGGCUAGCGUUGUUCGGAAUUACUGGGCGUAAAGCGCGCGCAGGCGGUCUUCCAAGUCAGUGGUGAAAGCCCGGAGCUCAACUCCGGAACUGCCAUUGAAACUGUUGGACUUGAGUACGAGAGAGGUGAGUGGAAUUCCCAGUGUAGAGGUGAAAUUCGUAGAUAUUGGGGAAGAACACCGGUGGCGAAGGCGGCUCACUGGCUCGUAACUGACGCUCAGGCGCGACAGCGUGGGGAUCAAACAGG